GCCCGGUUAGCUCAGCCGGUAGAGCGUUGGCCUUUUAAUCCAAAGGCCAAGGUUUCAAGUCCCUUAUCGGGCU
Molecule: non-coding RNA, 73 nt
Organism: Ciona savignyi (Pacific transparent sea squirt)
Lineage: Eukaryota; Metazoa; Chordata; Ascidiacea; Phlebobranchia; Cionidae
Source: Rfam